GACGAACGCUGGCGGCGUGCUUAACACAUGCAAGUCGAACGGACAGGCCCUACUUUUGUGUGUGCUCGGUUGGCGACCGGGUGAUUAACACGUGAUUAACCUGCCCUUGACUUUACUAUGACUUCAGCAAACUGGGGCUAAUACCGCAUAGGAACUCCUGCUGCCUGGUGGUUGUUGGAAAGUUUCCGCGGUUGGUGAUGGACUCGCGGCUUAUCAGCUUGUUGGGGGGGUAGUGGCAUACCAAGGCUUUGCCAGGUAGCCGGCCUGAGAGGGUGACCGGGGACAUUGGGACUGAGGGAGGGCGCAGAAUGGAACGGGAGGCAGCAGGGGGGAAUAUUGCACAAUGGGCGGGAGCGUGAUGCAGAAACGCCGCGUGCGGGAUGACGGCCUUCGGGUGGUAAACCGCUGUCGACUGUGACGAAGCGUGAGUGACGGUAAUGGGUAAAGAAGCACCGGCUAACUACGUG
RNAcentral lists this ribosomal RNA (467 nucleotides) under uncultured bacterium. RNAcentral describes it as "partial 16S ribosomal RNA". It matches the Rfam family "Bacterial small subunit ribosomal RNA", at positions 28 to 507 of the family's 1533-position model. The record is from RNAcentral.